UAAGGAAUAUUGGUCAAUGGACGCAAGUCUGAACCAGCCAUGCCGCGUGGAGGAUGAAGGUCCUCUGGAUUGUAAACUUCUUUUAUCUGGGACGAAACACUUCUUUUCUAAGAGGCCUGACGGUACCAGACGAAUAAGCACCGGCUAACUCCGUGCCAGCAGCCGCGGUAAUACGGAGGGUGCAAGCGUUAUCCGGAUUCACUGGGUUUAAAGGGUGCGUAGGUGGGUAUGUAAGUCAGUGGUGAAAUCCCCGAGCUUAACUUGGGAACUGCCAUUGAUACUAUAUAUCUUGAAUACCGUAGAGGUGAGCGGAAUAUGUCAUGUAGCGGUGAAAUGCUUAGAUAUGACAUGGAACACCAAUUGCGAAGGCAGCUUACUAUGCGGUGAUUGACACUGAGGCACGAAAGCGUGGGUAGCAAACA
Molecule: ribosomal RNA, 422 nt
Filed under: uncultured bacterium
Lineage: Bacteria
Description: bacterial SSU rRNA
Rfam family: Bacterial small subunit ribosomal RNA
Source: RNAcentral